AUACGCUGUCUCUUCAUAGAAACUUUCUCCAGUGCUCGCCUGCCCACAGACCUGGUUAGAGGCCCCGCUUUUUAUGGCCCCCCGGACUUAACCACGUCACAGAAAUCAUCACAUUGUGUUGAGCCUCCUGGGUUUCUUUGGACUGGAAGCUCCCUGAGGGCAGGGUUAUCUUGUUCGUCCUUUCAUCCCCAGGGCCUGGCAUAAGACCUGGCGAAGAGCUGCUGCAUGCUAAAGCUUUGCUAAUUGAAUGACUGUGUGUUAUUUCUUAAAUUCAAUGAGAAAUCACUCUACAAAGUCCAGGAGAAUGAAAGUCUCAAUAACCGAGCUUUCUCUCCCCUGAGCACCUACACAGGAAACUCAAUUACAGUUGCAAGAGGCCUCGAAGACCUGCAGGAUUUAGAAGAAUCCAGGCAUCUCCGGGCCCCUGGCUGGGGCUUCUGCAUCUGACAAUAGAGAUGGCUUUGCUCAGGGGAAGAAUACUUUGGGCUCUGACUCACUCCAUGAGCACUGGAAGAGGAAAGUGCCCUGUGAAAGUAUGGACACGUGGUGAUCACCAAAUGGUGACGGAGGCGGAGAGUGGAGUGACGCAACCACAAGCCCCAAACAACAAGGUCUCUGGACUCAGUGGACUGAUGGGCUCUCGGCUUCCACCCUGGAUGGCGCUGAACGUGGGGAAGUUCUUUACUUCCAUUCUCACGUGAGAAACUAGAGCACUGUGACUUACAAAGAGUAAGAAAACUAGAAACUUUUGUUUGGUUUGCCAAUGUAUUGGCAGCAUGAUUGGGACAGAAUCCAGGUCGUGCCCCAGGAGAAAGCUAUUCGUGACACCAUCUCUUCGCACCCUGAAAACAUAUUUAUUAAUUCAGUGUUUGACGUGUGUUUGUAAUUACUGAUGUGUAUUUAUGGGUUUCAGGUGAUUUUUUUAAAUCUUAGAAUCUCUGCCCCUUAUUGAGGGUGGUCUUAAGGUAAUAGGACAUUUACUGAAACAACCUUCUGUACCAAACAUGAUGCCUUCUUUUACCUCCGUGGCUUCCAGCUUCAACCUGUACUCCAUGUUCCUUCCAGACUCUGUGCUCCAUCCACAGCAAACAUUGCAGCUUGCUAAGCAGCCUGUGCUGUUGCUUCUGGGCCUUUGCAUCGGAUGUGGUCCCUGCUUAACAGACCUUCCCUAGCUCUUUGCCUGCACACAAUAUUCAGCUCACCCUUCAAUUCAACGCAGCUAACUCACCUUUUCUUCUCUAACAGCCUCAUCCCCUCCCCUAGAGACUUAUCCACUUCUCUUUGUGCUACACUGGUAUACUAGGCAUUUCUGUCAUUUUUUUUCCUGUAUAACAUCCUCUGAAUGUAGCAUCUAUUUAGUAAUUAUCCUAUUUGAGGAUGGAACUGUCUUUAAAAGAAUCUUCAAGAUAUAUACAACCAAAAAUGGCAAACAGAGUAACACCUACACAAGUUUGGUACAGUGCCAGAAACACAUGCUUUAUUUUUCUGGACAAAUUAAAGAAAUUCACCUUUGGUCACGUCCACUUCUAUAUUUGGACAUUUUCAUGUGGUUUCUGGGUACUUCUCUCUUCUUCAUUCCUCUUGUUUUUUUUCCUGGCUUAUUUUUACAUUAGUAGUUCAAUUUUUAAAGUUCCUGAAACAAAUGCAAAAAGUUGGUAUGGUAUUAUUCAAAGUAUAAGAUCAAUUUGUAGAUCUUAGGAAAUUCUAAUUCUAUGAGUCACUUUACUUCUUCUGUAUGGGUCUCCUUUUAUUCACUUAAACUGUUAAUGUAACAAGAAUUUAUCUACUGAGUGAUUGCACCAAGCACCCUGUCCUUAUUCCUUGCAGGGAAAUAGUAGGAGUGAAGAAUCUCCUUAGUCAUUAUUUUAAAGUAUUUUUUUCAAGUCAGUGAAACUACAACAGUAAUGACAAAGUUAAAAGCAUUUAGAUUACAACUUCAAACAGUGAUUAUAUC
This 1954-nucleotide long non-coding RNA is filed under the name Homo sapiens (human). Its description in RNAcentral is "HSALNT0206677". Lineage: Eukaryota; Metazoa; Chordata; Mammalia; Primates; Hominidae. The record is from RNAcentral.